UGAAUUCCGCGUCAUUUAUGUCCACAGG
This 28-nucleotide non-coding RNA is filed under the name Bombyx mori (domestic silkworm). Lineage: Eukaryota; Metazoa; Arthropoda; Insecta; Lepidoptera; Bombycidae. The record is from RNAcentral.